AUGCUUCUGGCAGCCUCGGAAGCCUUGGCGGGACAAGUUUCAGAGGAAAACUAUGCCAACGGGCUGAUUUACCCACCUUUCUCUAACAUCAGAAAAAUUUCAGCAAAUAUUGCUGCGAAUGUAGCCGCUAAGGCAUAUGAACUCGGGGUGGCUACACGUCUCCCUCGUCCCGUGAACCUUGUGAAGUAUGCUGAGAGUUGCA
Molecule: unclassified non-coding RNA, 202 nt
Filed under: Hevea brasiliensis (rubber tree)
Lineage: Eukaryota; Viridiplantae; Streptophyta; Magnoliopsida; Malpighiales; Euphorbiaceae
Source: RNAcentral